GGCAGUCAGAGGCGAUGAAGGACGUGCUAAUCUGCGAUAAGCGCCGGUAAGGUGAUAUGAACCGUUAUAACCGGCGAUUUCCGAAUGGGGAAACCCAGUGUGACUCGUCACACUAUCAUUAACUGAAUCCAUAGGUUAAUGAGGCGAACCGGGGGAACUGAAACAUCUAAGUACCCCGAGGAAAAGAAAUCAACCGAGAUUCCCCCAGUAGCGGCGAGCGAACGGGGAGGAGCCCAGAGCCUGAAUCAGCAUGUGUGUUAGUGGAAGCGUCUGGAAAGGCGCGCGAUACAGGGUGACAGCCCCGUACACAAAAGCGCAUGUGCUGUGAGCUCGAUGAGUAGGGCGGGACACGUGGUAUCCUGUCUGAAUAUGGGGGGACCAUCCUCCAAGGCUAAAUACUCCUGACUGACCGAUAGUGAACCAGUACCGUGAGGGAAAGGCGAAAAGAACCCCGGCGAGGGGAGUGAAAAAGAACCUGAAACCGUGUACGUACAAGCAGUGGGAGCACCCUUUGGGGUGUGACUGCGUACCUUUUGUAUAAUGGGUCAGCGACUUAUAUUCUGUAGCAAGGUUAACCGAAUAGGGGAGC
RNAcentral lists this ribosomal RNA (589 nucleotides) under Salmonella enterica. RNAcentral describes it as "partial 23S ribosomal RNA". It matches the Rfam family "Bacterial large subunit ribosomal RNA", at positions 35 to 666 of the family's 2925-position model. The record is from RNAcentral. Lineage: Bacteria; Pseudomonadati; Pseudomonadota; Gammaproteobacteria; Enterobacterales; Enterobacteriaceae.